GUGGAAAGGACAGCAUAUAGAUAGCACACAAGUUAGAUAGAGGCAGACAAAUAAAAAAUAAGGAAAAGAACAGCACGUAUAACAAGAGAUCUCCUUUUGCUGUAUCUGCUGGUGCUGGACAACAAAACUACCAUGCCAGUUUUGGUUUCUAGGGGUCUGUUGGGAACCAUGCGAAGGGAAACCUGUGUCACCUGACCUCUUCAGGACAUGAGGACCACAAGGUAGCCACUGUAUGAGACAUGUCUAAAUGCCUCCAGAUCUGGUGUUAAUUCAUAGAUUCUCUAAAAAGGGAAUUGAUGCUGCUGAGACCCUCCCUAGAGAAGCAGAGCUCCUCCAGCCUUUGUUCAGAGCCCUGCCUCACACCUACUGACUUCAGAAUGGCAUUCUGGGAUGAAUAAUAAUGCUUAAUGUCUGAAGUUUUUAAUAGAUUAUCUGUUCAUCAUUAUUGUUUCUAAAUUGUAAAAAAGCUAUACCUAGCCAAAUUGUCAAAUGUAUGUGUGAGUCUGUAUAUAUUGUAUAAAUUAGAUGUGGCACAUGAUUCUAGUAUGGUCACGAUCACAGUGUCAAGCACAGAGCAAUGCUAAUCUUUGUAAACCUCUGAAUUGCCACGGUUAUACCUCAGUUGUGUAUCUGUUGUACAGUUCCAGUGAGGAUGAAAUAUUCCAAAUACUUUUAUGUAGAAAAAACAAAUGUGUAGUCUUGUGCAUGACAGGAAGUCUUGUAGAUGAACUGGAGAUGAUGCCUAGCUUGCCAAUUAAAAUUCCUGUAACCACUGCGUGUGAGGUCUGUAGGACUGUUUCCCUUGCUGAUCUUGUUGCAUGGAAACUGAGCUCAUCCCAAGAGUCUGUACUGUAGAGAAUGAGGAGCAAACCCUGACUAUGAUGUGCUCUGGAAUCUUUGUUGCACCUUUCUCUUCCUUCAGAGAAUUGCACGCUGCCUUAAGUUGCAUCUCACAGUCUGUAACCUGAGUGUCAAGUGGCACUUGCCAGGUCUUAGGUUUCAUAAUAACUUUUUUUUUCCUUUGUAGAAAGAAAGAUACAGGGAGAAUAAACCCUGGUAUCAAAAGAGUGCUUGGCUUAGUUCUUACAGCAGUAUUUUUUAUUUUUUGUCUUUUUCCCUAAGUGGAUUUAUCUGAUACGCAGGGCAUUAGUAUUAUUGCCAGGAGGGGACAGAAUUAUAGUUAGACCAAACAUCUUCUGGAUUAUCAGUUUUCUCUCGAGAGGGAAUGAUGCCAACUAAUGCUGGAGCAUAUGUAGUGGAAAUGAGAAACCAUGAGCCAUGCCUUUACACUGACUGUGAAAUGAACCACCACUGGGAAAUACAAGUUCCAGCAAUGCUGGAAGCAUGAGUCUGGUCUGAACACUCUUCCCCAAAGGGAGAUCCUAUUGAAACAUCAUGACAUAAUGUUGCAAGAGGAAUAAAAUUACUAUGCAAACCACCAAGCUAAAGGGGAAUAACCAACUGCUGUGUCAUUAGGCCUGACUGAAAUGACUAGUUUGCUCCUGGGGAAUUGGAAACAGAAUAUCAGUGGCAAGAGAUAGGAAAUGUGUUUGGUUUUUUCCCCUCCAAGAACAUGUUUCAGAAGAGAUGCUUCACAGCAGGAGGGUAAAAGCCUUUCAGGAGAAGAAAACUUCAUAGCAAACAAUAGCAACUCUUUAAAAACUUGCAUGUAAUUCUUGCUUUCUACCUGUUUAGGUAAAUAAAUGUGG
RNAcentral lists this long non-coding RNA (1709 nucleotides) under Gallus gallus (chicken). Its description in RNAcentral is "lncRNA (ENSGALG00010022576.1)". The record is from RNAcentral. Lineage: Eukaryota; Metazoa; Chordata; Aves; Galliformes; Phasianidae.